CCCUUAGAUGUUCUGGGCCGCACGCGCGCUACACUGAUGCAUUCAACGAGUUUUACCUUGGCCGAGAGGCCUGGGCAAUCUUUUAAACCUGCAUCGUGAUAGGGAUAGAUUAUUGCAAUUAUUAAUCUUGAACGAGGAAUUCCUAGUAAACGCAAAUCAUCAAUUUGCAUUGAUUACGUCCCUGCCCUUUGCACACACCGCCCGUCGCACCUACCGAUUGAAUGGUCCGGUGAAGCCUCGGGAUUGUGGCCAGUUCACUUUAUUGGGAGUUGGCUGUGAGAACUUGUCUAAACCUUAUCAUUUAGAGGAAGGUGAAGUCGUAACA
Molecule: ribosomal RNA, 325 nt
Filed under: uncultured eukaryote
Lineage: Eukaryota
Description: partial 18S ribosomal RNA
Rfam family: Eukaryotic small subunit ribosomal RNA
Source: RNAcentral